RNAcentral lists this ribosomal RNA (498 nucleotides) under uncultured bacterium. Its description in RNAcentral is "partial 16S ribosomal RNA". It matches the Rfam family "Bacterial small subunit ribosomal RNA", at positions 30 to 523 of the family's 1533-position model. The record is from RNAcentral.
AUUGAACGCUGGCGGCAUGCUUUACACAUGCAAGUCGAACGGUAACAGGCCGCAAGGUGCUGACGAGUGGCGAACGGGUGAGUAAUGCAUCGGAACGUGCCCAGUCGUGGGGGAUAACGCAGCGAAAGCUGUGCUAAUACCGCAUACGAUCUAUGGAUGAAAGCGGGGGACCGUAAGGCCUCGCGCGAUUGGAGCGGCCGAUGUCAGAUUAGGUAGUUGGUGGGGUAAAGGCUCACCAAGCCAACGAUCUGUAGCUGGUCUGAGAGGACGACCAGCCACACUGGGACUGAGACACGGCCCAGACUCCUACGGGAGGCAGCAGUGGGGAAUUUUGGACAAUGGGCGCAAGCCUGAUCCAGCAAUGCCGCGUGCAGGAAGAAGGCCUUCGGGUUGUAAACUGCUUUUGUACGGAACGAAACGGUCCGGGUUAAUACCCUGGGCUAAUGACGGUACCGUAAGAAUAAGCACCGGCUAACUACGUGCCAGCAGCCGCCGUAA